Molecule: transfer RNA, 70 nt
Filed under: Dipodomys ordii (Ord's kangaroo rat)
Lineage: Eukaryota; Metazoa; Chordata; Mammalia; Rodentia; Heteromyidae
Rfam family: tRNA
About the family: Transfer RNA (tRNA) molecules are approximately 80 nucleotides in length.
Source: Rfam by way of RNAcentral
GGGAAUGUGGCUCAGUGGUAGAGCAUCUGCCUUGUAUGCCAGAGGCCCUGGGUUCGAUUACUCAGCACCA